GUAGGAGCUAAGGACGAAGGACAGGCGCUGAGGAAACGUCCCAGUCCACACCCCGGGACCGGUCUUCACAGUGUCAGGCUGAGGGGAUCAAAUUCAGGACCUUGUGUUUGUGAGGCAGGCGCCAGCACCACUGAGUCUCUACAGGCCCCUCUGGGGAGAAGGAGGUCCUCAGAGGCGGCAGUGUGACCGACUGAGAAGUGUCAUUCCCGUGGUCUGCUCUGCUAAGGCUGCUUCUCAUGUGCAGCAUGAACUUCAGUGGGACACAGCUUAUCCUGAUCUCUGAGGCCAGAAGACGAUUCCUUUCUUGAUUCCAUUUCUUUGCCAUUGGUCAGGGGAAUGUUAAAAGCACUGGCCCUGAACUCAUGGUGAUCCUCCUGCCUUAGCCACCAUGCCUGGGUUAGGGUUAGGGAUAGGGAUAGAAAAGAACCUUCAGCCAAGAUUGAUGUACUCCACAAAACUAUCUUUCAAAAUUGAUGGAGAAAUAACAUACUUCCAGGACAAAGAACACCUGAAGAAAUGUAUGACCACCAAACCAGCACUCAAAAAUGUUCUGAGGGAUAUUCUAGAAAGAGACAACAAGGAGUAGAACUCCAUGAACCCCAGCAGAAUGAAUCCACCAGGCGAGGCAAAAAAUUAAACAGAGGAGGAAAUAAGGG
This is a long non-coding RNA of Heterocephalus glaber (naked mole-rat), 656 nucleotides long. NCBI's taxonomy places the organism in Eukaryota, Metazoa, Chordata, Mammalia, Rodentia, Bathyergidae. The record is from Ensembl.